CCCGUAUCCAGCCACGGCCGGGAGCCCAGGAGUAUCCCGAGGAACAAAGAAACGCCACUGUACAUGCACGGUUCCCGGCCUGUGGAGUUGUGGGCGGAAGGCGAUGUCUGGCCUUUUUUGCACAGCUGCUGUUGCCUGCCCAGAGAUCGGGAACUCUGCCCCGUAGGACUGGAAGAAACCUCAGUAAUGGGAAUAAGACUUUGUCCAAUAGGGGGCUGAUGAAUGUGUGGGGGCGACAAUGGCAAGGAGUGGGACUCCCGGCCUGGGGUUCGCCAACCCCAGGGGCCACAGGUCCUCCUACAAUUGAACCAGAAUUCACCCACCUGGGCCUGCCCUGUGCAGGGUGCCGAGAGCCCAGGGAUGCAUGAGAGGGUGGCUCCUGCCUCUGGGAACUGGGACAGUGGGAGAGACGGAUAAGUUGUCACACAGAGGCUGCUGGGAGGAAGGAGGAGACCGAAGGAGUAGGGGAUGGGACUUCAUUCAUUCAUCAAAUGCACACGAGGCACAAAUGGGAAUCAAGGGUGGAUGUGCUGUGAUGAAGAGAAGUCCUGCCCUGAACAAGGUGGCGCUGUGGAGGAGGCAGAGAUCAGAUUUGUCUGCGGAGGUGUUAUGGACUGAACUGUGUCCCUGCCCCAAAUUCCUAUGUUGAAGGCCUAACCCCCAUGUGACUGUAUUUGGAGAUAAGGCUUUUAGGAAGUCAUUAAAGUGAGAUGAUGUCAUAUGGGUAGGGUCCUAAUUUGAUAGGAUUGGUGGCCUCAUCAGAAGAACAAUGUCA
This 775-nucleotide long non-coding RNA is filed under the name Pan troglodytes (chimpanzee). RNAcentral's name for it is "long non-coding RNA NONPTRT008070". The record is from RNAcentral. Lineage: Eukaryota; Metazoa; Chordata; Mammalia; Primates; Hominidae.